AUACAUAUCUUAAGUGUCGUCU
RNAcentral lists this non-coding RNA (22 nucleotides) under Arabidopsis thaliana (thale cress). The record is from RNAcentral. Lineage: Eukaryota; Viridiplantae; Streptophyta; Magnoliopsida; Brassicales; Brassicaceae.